AGCCAGCGGGAGGCAGGUGGGGCUCGGCGAGGGGCGAAGCUGCCCCCGGGGCGGGGAAGGUCAGACGGCACCUGGAGCCGGCACGGAGGAAGUGAGCGGCGGCCCCCGCCGGGCUGGGAACCGGAGGAGCGGCGGGAAGGGGGCUGGGAGCCGCAGGAGGAGUAACCCGGCCGAGCUGUGGAGGCCAUUUCCCGGCGGGAAAACACGCCCGUGGGUGGAAACACGGCUGCUGGUCUUGAAGAGCUCUAGAGUCUUCUCUGGAGCAGGAACCUGACAUUUUGUACCAAAGUAGCCUAAAACCAGCCUCAAGGUCAUACUGCCACUUGAAAAAUUAAUGCAUCAAACAUUUAACACCUGGUUUCAUAGCUGAAACUUGCAGCAUGUUUUGAAGGCAGCCAAGAAGGAACUUUAAUGGCUCUCCUGGAAGUUGUUCAAAAACCGCUCCCAUUGACUGCUUCAGACAUUGUAUAAGGCCCCAAAAGCAGUCUCCAGGGAGGUGUAAGUUGCAGGUCUAGGCUGCAGGCAUCACAUCUGGACCAGGAGGAAGAAAUAACUCUCAUGUGUGGGCUGCUGUUCAGUAUCAGUGCAAAACCAAGACAUGAGAAAGAGGCGAGGGUUGGGAUAAUAACUGCUAGCAGACAGCUGGGAUCGACUGAAGUAAGGAAACCGUUAAAAAGGAAUCGCAGCAUCAAAGCAUCAUUUUUCACUUUGUAAAUUCAGCUCAAGUAUGUCUAUGGUGUCAUUUGUCCUGAAGAUUUCAAUUCCUGUGCUCCAUCAGAGUGCUAAUGUCUCUAGAGAGGGACCUAUCACUGAACUGCAGGCAUCUCCAGGGUGUAAAACAACAGCAGCUCAUGAACAUGUGAGAAAGAAGUUUCAGUAAAAUAACAGAGCAGUUGGGGAGGACUGUAGGAAGGCUGUACAAACAACACAGCACAAUAAGCCAAGCAAGCUGCAUCUUGAUCAUGUUCUUGCCUUUGAGAUACGUGAUUCUGAAAAAAAAAAUUGCCAUUGUUAUCAGUACUGCACUGGGGUGAACACACAAGCUUUGCAGAUCUUUAUAGCCAUCACCUGGUGACAGGAAGCUGUCAAAUGAGAAAUGCAGUAAUAGUUACAGUAGACACUGAAGACGAACAGUGAAAAUGAUGAGCAUUUCAUGAAAGGAAAGACACCCCCCCCCCCUUUCAUAAUAAGAAAAUCUUUUGAGGAUAGUCCACAUGUUUCAGCGGCAGCUGCUUUGCUGAUUAUUGCAGGCCAAAAUGUUAUCUCGAUACACGCCUACUUAACAAUAGCAGUUGGGUUAAUGAAGAGAAGGUUACACUUUGGUUCAUGUGCCUUUUGAAAAGUGGAAUAAACAACUAUCUUUAUUCCCUUGGGAGAAAAAAAAAGUGCAAAUUCUGCCAGCUGUUUUGUAAUAUGAGAGUGCUUUACAUGGUGUAUUUUCACAGCUGUCUUAUCAGUUUCCUAAAAUGAAUCAGGGUGGAGCAAACAGUUUAGGAAUGUCAUGAAAAAAGGAUUUGGAGCUUUGCUGUGGUUCAUGAUAAUGAUGCCCUCUUGGGAUAGUGGAUCAGAGUUGGAAGAUCCUACUGGAGAUAGGAAUCAUGCUUGUAAAAUAUUCUCACACAAAAUUCAGCAGCUAUUGCGUCUAAACUCUGGAUGGAGACAUCCUCUCCACUCUUUAUGGUGGUUUGACUUGGAGCAUUUUUCAGACGGAAGGUGUUUCCACAUGUCCUGCUGUGAGAUUUGCUUCUGCAAAACACGGCAGUUCCUGUCGCUGUAACUCAUGUUGGUGGGAGCUGAGGGAUCUUGAAACUCUGUGGACCUGAGCGCUUGCUAGUUGAGAUCAUCAGCUCCAACUAAACCAACUGCUAAAGGUCAGGUCUUUUCCCCACUGAAGAUGGUGGGAGAACCCUGAGUGAUUUCAGUGGGUUCAGCAUCAUAAACGAAACCCCAGAAAUAGAGGGAAGGAAGCAUUUCAGUGCUGUUACAUCCAGAAGAAGUUACUGUGCUGUUUCCCUGUCAUCAGUGUUGCUGUUCACUUAACAAAAUAACCACUCAGGCCAGUGCUCUCAUACAGCGCUCUGGAUUUUGGUGUAGGCAAGCAAUUAAAAAAACCAAAAA
Molecule: long non-coding RNA, 2118 nt
Organism: Grus americana (Whooping crane)
Lineage: Eukaryota; Metazoa; Chordata; Aves; Gruiformes; Gruidae
Exons: 4
Source: RefSeq, a predicted model, not a curated record